Molecule: ribosomal RNA, 463 nt
Filed under: uncultured bacterium
Lineage: Bacteria
Description: partial 16S ribosomal RNA
Rfam family: Bacterial small subunit ribosomal RNA
Source: RNAcentral
GAUGAACGCUGACAGAAUGCUUAACACAUGCAAGUCUUUGGUGAAGCUGUGCUUGCACAGCCUAGCCAAGGCGGACGGGUGAGUAACGCGUCAGGAACUUGCCCUGCAGUCAGGGAUAACAGACGGAAACGACUGAUAAGACCUGGUAAAGUCAGGCGGACUCAUGUCCAGCCUGAUGAAAAGAGAUGCUGCAGGAGAGCCUUGCGUCCUAUUAGCUUGUUGGUGGGGUAACGGCCCACCAAGGCAAUGAUAGGUAGCCGGCCUGAGAGGGUGGACGGCCACAAGGGGACUGAGAUACGGCCCUUACUCCUACGGGAGGCAGCAGUGGGGAAUAUUGGACAAUGGGGGCAACCCUGAUCCAGCAAUUCUGUGUGCACGAUGAAGGUUUUCGGAGUGUAAAGUGCUUUCAGCAGGGAAGAAAAAAAUGACGGUACCUGCAGAAGAAGCGACGGCUAAAUACGUG